UGUUGCAGUUAAAAGCUCGUAGUUGGAUCUAGGGACGCGCAUUUCAAGCGCCCGUGCCAUCGGGUCAAACCGGUGGCUGCGUUGGCGUUGCGGGCUCGGUCCGUCGGUGCCCCACAAAGGGCUAUCGGCGUGUCAACCGGCCCGCCCGUCCCCUCCUUCUGGAUUCCCGUUCCUGCUAUUGAGUUAGUGGGGACGUCACAGGGGGUCCAUCGUCGUGCGGCGUCAAAACCGUGCGGCGGUGGGUCCCUGGGGCCCAGAUCGUUUACCGUGAAAAAAUUAGAGUGUUCAAAGCAGGCAGAUCCAAUUUUCUGCCACCGAAUACAUUAGCAUGGGAUAAUGGAAUAGGACCCUGUCCUCCUAUUUUCAGUUGGUUUUGGCAGCGCGAGGACUAGGGUAAUGAUUAAUAGGGAUAGUUGGGGGCAUUAAUAUUUAAUUGUCAGAGGUGAAAUUCUUGGAUUUAUGAAAGAUUAACUUCUGCGAAAGCAUCUGCCAAGGAUGUUUUCAUUAAUCAAGAACGAAAGUUAGGGGAUCGAAGACGAUCAGAUACCGUCGUAGUCUUAACCAUAAACGAUGCCGACCAGCGAUUAGGAGACGUUGAAUACAAAACACCACCAUCGGUGCGGUCGUCCUUGGCGUCUCGGUCCUUCACGGGGCCGGGGCGCGGGGGUGGCUUAGCCCGGUGGCACCGGUGAAUGACUCCCCUAGCAGCUUGUGAGAAAUCAUAAGUCUUUGGGUUCCGGGGGGAGUAUGGUCGCAAGGCUGAAACUUAAAGGAAUUGACGGAAGG
Molecule: ribosomal RNA, 786 nt
Filed under: Acanthamoeba sp.
Lineage: Eukaryota; Discosea; Longamoebia; Acanthamoebidae
Description: SSU rRNA
Rfam family: Eukaryotic small subunit ribosomal RNA
Source: RNAcentral